AUGUCUGACCAAUCCGUGAAACUCAACAUGCUUCUUCUGCUGGCGUUUCUGCUGCUGUCUUAUGGAGCUGGCAAUGCCCGUUGCUCAACUGUUCAUGCGAACAUCACAGACAUUCUCUCCUUGCUCCGAUUCAAAAGGUCCACCCACGAUCCAACAGGUUCCUUGAGGAACUGGAACCGAAGCAUCCAUUACUGCAAGUGGAAUGGUGUCUCCUGCAGCUUACUGAAUCCAGGGCGGGUGGCGGCUUUGGAUCUCCCUGGCCAAAACUUGUCAGGUCAAGUCAACCCUUCUCUUGGGAACAUAACGUUCCUUAAGCGCCUGAAUUUGUCCUCCAAUGGCUUCUCCGGCCAGUUACCUCCUCUGAGUCAGCUCCAUGAGCUGACGCUUCUUGACAUGAGCUCUAACUUAUUCCAAGGGAUAAUCCCCGAUUCACUCACACAAUUUUCGAACCUACAGCUCCUGAAUUUGUCCUACAAUGGCUUCUCCGGCCAGUUACCUCCUCUGAACCAGCUUCCCGAGCUGGUGGUUCUUGACUUGAAAUCCAAUUUAUUCCAAGGGAUAAUCCCCGACUCACUCACAAACUGUUCGAACCUCACGUUUGUGGAUCUUUCAAGAAACAUGCUAGAAGGCUCAAUCCCGGCGAAAAUAGGUUCGCUUUACAAUCUAAUGAAUUUAGACCUUUCUAGGAAUAAACUCACCGGGGUCAUACCACCAACCAUCAGCAAUGCCACCAAGCUACAAUUUCUCAUUCUUCAAGAAAAUGAACUAGAGGGAAGCAUACCCAGUGAGCUUGGACAAUUGUCCAACAUGAUCGGCUUUACUGUUGGUAGCAAUAGGCUCUCAGGUCAAAUACCAGCAUCAAUCUUUAAUCUUACUUUGCUCCGAGUGCUAGGCUUGUACGCAAAUAGACUACAAAUGGCGGCACUGCCACUUGACAUUGGCCACACCCUCCCUAAUCUCCAAAAUAUUACUUUGGGCCAAAACAUGCUUGAAGGUCCUAUCCCAGCGUCGCUAGGUAACAUUUCAAGCCUGCAAUUAAUAGAGUUAUCUAAUAACAGUUUCACUGGAGAAAUUCCUAGUUUCGGAAAGCUACAGAAACUUGUAUACCUAAACCUUGCGGACAAUAAGCUGGAGUCAAGUGACAGCCAAAGAUGGGAAUCUUUAUAUGGACUAACAAACUGCAGUCAUCUAAAAUCGCUCAGAUUCAAGAAUAAUCAGCUGAAAGGAGUCAUACCAAAUUCGGUAGGUAAAUUGUCCCCUAAACUUGAACUUCUACAUCUGGGUGGAAACAAUCUAUCAGGAAUAGUUCCUUCAAGCAUAGGAAACCUUGAUGGCUUAAUAGAUUUGGAUCUUAGCACAAACAGUUUCAAUGGUACAAUUGAAGGAUGGGUAGGAAGUCUUAAAAAACUACAAUCUCUAGAUCUUCAUGGAAACAAUUUCGUUGGAGCCAUUCCACCCUCUUUUGGCAACCUUACUGAGCUAACAUAUCUGUAUUUAGCAAAAAAUGAAUUUGAAGGGACCAUACCUCCCAUUCUCGGGAAACUUAAAAGACUCUCAGCCAUGGACCUUAGCUAUAAUAAUCUUCAAGGUGACAUUCCUCCAGAACUCAGUGGGCUUACACAACUCCGUACACUGAAUCUUUCAUCUAACAGACUUACAGGAGAAAUUCCUGUUGAUCUGAGCCAGUGUCAAGACCUGGUAACCAUCCAAAUGGACCAUAAUAACUUGACGGGUGACAUUCCAACCACUUUUGGUGACCUUAUGAGCUUGAACAUGCUCAGCCUUUCCUAUAAUGAUUUAUCAGGGGCCAUCCCUGUAAGUCUUCAACAUGUCAGCAAGUUGGACUUAUCUCAUAAUCACCUCCAAGGAGAAAUCCCACCAGAAGGAGUGUUUAGGAAUGCCUCAGCCGUUUCGCUUGCUGGCAAUUCAGAGCUUUGUGGAGGGGUGUCGGAACUGCAUAUGCCUCCAUGCCCAGUUGCUUCUCAGAGAACUAAGAUACGAUAUUACUUGAUCAGGGUAUUGAUACCAUUAUUUGGCUUCAUGUCGCUCCUAUUAUUGGUCUACUUUCUAGUCCUCGAGAGGAAAAUGAGAAGAACAAGAUAUGAAUCACAGGCUCCUUUGGGUGAGCAUUUCCCUAAAGUUUCUUACAAUGAUCUGGUUGAAGCAACAAAGAACUUUUCCGAGUCUAACCUGCUUGGGAAAGGAAGCUAUGGUACAGUGUACAAGGGAAACUUGGUGCAGCAUAAGUUGGAAGUGGCAGUGAAGGUUUUUAACCUUGAGAUGCAAGGCGCGGAGAGAAGCUUCAUGCCAGAAUGUGAAGCGCUGAGAAGCGUUCAACACCGGAAUCUUGUUUCCAUCAUAACUGCAUGUUCUACUGUUGAUAGCGACGGUAGAGCUUUCAGGGCCCUAAUUUACGAGUUCAUGCCCAAGGGGAACUUGGACACGUGCCUUCAUCACAAGGGGGACGGCAAAGCUGAUAAGCAUCUGACUUUAACUCAAAGAAUCGGCAUAGCUGUCAACAUAGCAGAUGCACUGGACUAUUUACAUAAUGACAGCGAAAACCCCAUCAUCCAUUGUGAUCUGAAGCCCAGCAAUAUUCUUCUUGAUGAGGACAUGGUUGCUCAUUUGGGGGAUUUCGGUAUUGCAAGGAUUUUUCUUGAUUCUGGGCUAAGACCAGCAAGCUCGACGAGUUCAAUUGGUGUAAAAGGAACGAUAGGCUAUAUCCCACCAGAGUACGGCGGGGGAGGCCGUAUAUCUACUUCUGGGGAUGUCUACAGUUUUGGGAUAGUGCUGCUGGAGAUGUUGACUGGCAAAAGGCCAACAGAUCCUAUGUUUAUGGAUGGACUGGACAUCGUCAACUUCGUGGGCAACAAGUUUCCACAUCAAAUACAUGAAGUGAUUGACAUUUAUCUAAAAGGAGAGUGCGAGUCAGAAGAUUCGGUUCAUCAGUGCCUCGUGUCUCUGCUGCAAGUAGCAGUCUCCUGCACACACUCCAUCCCCGGCGAAAGAGCGAACAUUAGAGAUACAGCUAGCAAGCUCCAGGAAAUUAAGGCGUCAUAUCUUGGAAGGAAGGCAAAGAUAAAUCCUUCAGUUUAA
This 3096-nucleotide ribosomal RNA is filed under the name Triticum aestivum (bread wheat). RNAcentral's name for it is "partial small subunit ribosomal RNA". The record is from RNAcentral. Lineage: Eukaryota; Viridiplantae; Streptophyta; Magnoliopsida; Poales; Poaceae.